CCCACACACAAAACAAAAAGCUAGCAAGUCCUUUCAUAACCUAUUCACAUGUGUAAGCUUUUGGCAAAAAUAAUGGAAGAUUAGGAAUCGAGUCUGCUAUUCCUCAUAAGAUUCUGGAUCACUAAAAAACCUUGAGAUUAUUGAAAAAGGAGAAAUGGAAACAUUGAUUGUUGAAGCUCCCCUCAGCCUGGACAACUUGUUGCUUGAGGAAGCCACCAGAUUUCCUGUCUGUGGUGCUGAAUGAUCCAGCUGGCUGCUAUCUCCUGCAAAUCUUCAUGCUGCUGCGGGCUGGGUGCCAGGGAUUGUGGACACCUCCCAGAGAUCUUUGGCUGUGGUGUGGUAUAGAAAUAAAGAA
Molecule: long non-coding RNA, 355 nt
Organism: Varanus komodoensis (Komodo dragon)
Lineage: Eukaryota; Metazoa; Chordata; Lepidosauria; Squamata; Varanidae
Exons: 3
Source: RefSeq, a predicted model, not a curated record